Small nuclear RNA from Erinaceus europaeus (western European hedgehog), 166 nucleotides. Its record names the gene U1. It matches the Rfam family "U1 spliceosomal RNA". From Rfam's summary of the family: U1 is a small nuclear RNA (snRNA) component of the spliceosome (involved in pre-mRNA splicing). The record is from Ensembl. Lineage: Eukaryota; Metazoa; Chordata; Mammalia; Eulipotyphla; Erinaceidae.
AUACUUACCUGGCAGUGGAAAAAAACCAUGAUCCAGCAGGUGGUUUUCCCAGGUUGAGAUUUGUCCAUUGCACUUGGGAUUUGUUGACCCCUGCGAUUUCCCCAAAUGUGGGAAACUCAACUGCAUAAUUUGUGUUAGUGGGGGACUGUGUGCGUCCUCUCCCCCU